UUUGAACGUUCGAUCUCAAAUCAGGUAGGACUACCCGCUGAACUUAAGCAUAUCAAUAAGCGGAGGAAAAGAAACUAACAAGGAUUCCCCUAGUAACUGCGAGUGAAGCGGGAAGAGCUCAAAUUUAAAAUCUGGCGUGCCUCCGGUCGUCCGAAUUGUAGUCUCGAGAAGUGUUUUCCGUGCUGGACC
This 189-nucleotide ribosomal RNA is filed under the name Tomentella cf. ellisii EN240(CORD). RNAcentral describes it as "partial 28S ribosomal RNA". It matches the Rfam family "Eukaryotic large subunit ribosomal RNA", at positions 1 to 176 of the family's 3401-position model. Lineage: Eukaryota; Fungi; Basidiomycota; Agaricomycetes; Thelephorales; Thelephoraceae. The record is from RNAcentral.